GAAAUGCGAUAAGUAAUGUGAAUUGCAGAAUUCAGUGAAUCAUCGAAUCUUUGAACGCACCUUGCGCUCCUUGGUAUUCCUUGGAGCAUGCCUGUUUGAGUAUCAUGAAAUCUUCAAAGUAAAUCUUUUGUUAACUCAAUUGGUUUCUACUUUGGUAUUGGAGGUCUUUGCAGCUUCACACCUGCUCCUCUUUGUUCAUUAGCUGGAUCUCAGUGUUAUGCUUGGUUCCACUCGGCGUGAUAAGUUAUCUAUCGCUGAGGACACUGUAAUAGGUGGCCAAGGUAAAUGCUGAUGAACCGCUUCUAAUAGUCCAUUGACUUGGACAAUACUUUUAUGAUCUGAUCUCGAAUCAGGUAGGACUACCCGCUGAACUUAAGC
RNAcentral lists this unclassified non-coding RNA (378 nucleotides) under plant metagenome. RNAcentral describes it as "partial contains 5.8S ribosomal RNA, internal transcribed spacer 2, and large subunit ribosomal RNA". The stretch from base 1 to 105 matches the Rfam family "5.8S ribosomal RNA", at positions 50 to 154 of the family's 154-position model. The record is from RNAcentral.